GGAGCCGUAGCGAAAGCGAGUUUUAACUGAGCGUUCAGUUACUUGACGUAGACCCGAAACCGGGCGACCUACCCAUGAGCAGGAUGAAGCGAAAGUAAAAUUUCGUGGAGGUCCGAACUCACGAGCGUUGAAAAGCUCGGGGAUGACUUGUGGGUAGCGAUGAAAUUCCAAUCGAGCCUGGAGAUAGCUGGUUCUCCCCGAAAUAGCUUUAGGGCUAGCUUCAAGGUGAGAGAUACGGAGGUAGAGCACUGAAUGUCCUAGG
Molecule: ribosomal RNA, 262 nt
Filed under: Clostridioides difficile
Lineage: Bacteria; Bacillati; Bacillota; Clostridia; Peptostreptococcales; Peptostreptococcaceae
Description: partial 23S ribosomal RNA
Rfam family: Bacterial large subunit ribosomal RNA
Source: RNAcentral